This 520-nucleotide ribosomal RNA is filed under the name uncultured Glomus. Its description in RNAcentral is "SSU rRNA". It matches the Rfam family "Eukaryotic small subunit ribosomal RNA", at positions 569 to 1091 of the family's 1831-position model. Lineage: Eukaryota; Fungi; Glomeromycota; Glomeromycetes; Glomerales; Glomeraceae. The record is from RNAcentral.
AGCAGCCGCGGUAAUUCCAGCUCCAAUAGCGUAUAUUAAAGUUGUUGCAGUUAAAAAGCUCGUAGUUGAAUUUCGGGGUUAGUAGGUUGGUCAUGCCUCUGGUAUGUACUGGUCUCACUGAUUCCUCCUUCCUGAUGAGCCGUAAUGCCAUUAAUUUGGUGUUGCGGGGAAUUUGGACUGUUACUUUGAAAAAAUUAGAGUGUUUAAAGCAAGCUAACGCUUGAAUACAUUAGCAUGGAAUAAUGAAAUAGGACGUUCGAUCCUAUUUUGUUGGUUUCUAGGAUUGACGUAAUGAUUAAUAGGGAUAGUUGGGGGCAUUAGUAUUCAAUUGUCAGAGGUGAAAUUCUUGGAUUUAUUGAAGACUAACUACUGCGAAAGCAUUUGCCAAGGAUGUUUUCAUUAAUCAAGAACGAAAGUUAGGGGAUCGAAGACGAUCAGAUACCGUCGUAGUCUUAACCAUAAACUAUGCCGACUAGGGAUCGGAUGAUGUUAAUUUUUAAUGACUCAUUCGGNGCCUUAC